This 406-nucleotide ribosomal RNA is filed under the name uncultured bacterium. RNAcentral describes it as "bacterial SSU rRNA". It matches the Rfam family "Bacterial small subunit ribosomal RNA", at positions 354 to 772 of the family's 1533-position model. The record is from RNAcentral.
GUGGGGAAUUGUUCACAAUGGGCGCAAGCCUGAUGCAGCGACGCCGCGUGAGGGAUGACGGCCUUCGGGUUGUAAACCUCUUUCAGCAGGGACGAAGCGUGAGUGACGGUACCUGCAGAAGAAGCACCGGCUAACUACGUGCCAGCAGCCGCGGUAAUACGUAGGGUGCGAGCGUUGUCCGGAAUUAUUGGGCGUAAAGAGCUCGUAGGCGGUUUGUUGCGUCGGCUGUGAAAACUUCACGCUUAACGUGGAGCCUGCAGUCGAUACGGGCAGACUUGAGUUCGGCAGGGGAGACUGGAAUUCCUGGUGUAGCGGUGAAAUGCGCAGAUAUCAGGAGGAACGCCGGUGGCGAAGGCGGCGUCCUGGACCAAUACUGACACUGAGGAGCGAAAGCCAGGGGAGCAAA